This 49-nucleotide non-coding RNA is filed under the name uncultured Arthrobacter sp. Its description in RNAcentral is "msiK RNA". It matches the Rfam family "msiK RNA", at positions 9 to 60 of the family's 60-position model. The record is from RNAcentral. Lineage: Bacteria; Bacillati; Actinomycetota; Actinomycetes; Micrococcales; Micrococcaceae.
CCCAUUCACAACGGAUCGUCGGGCACGUACCUGCCCGUGAAGGGAAACA